GAUGGCUGCUGAGUCUCUGAUUACUGCAGCUUGCAACUCCCUCUCUCUCAGCUAGUAUCUUGAGUCCGCAUUUACCCAUGUGUGGGGUCAGCCGAUUGUAACCCUGCACACCGUGACAGUCAGUGCUCUAGGAAGCCAGGCCAUCAUAAAGCACAAGAGACUGGCUUCUGUAGAUGCUGGCGCAGAAGAAAGGCAUUUUGGAUAGAUGAGAAAGUGGAUUUUACUGCUGGGGUAGGGCUGAUUGGAAGGAGCUAUUUUGCAUUUGAUGGUGCUUGUUAAUGUAGCCACUAGUUGAGCACAUAUACAAAAAUCCCCUGGCAGCUAUCCCAAAACAGAGUGCAAACAUGUGUGUCCUCUGAACAUCUCCCUUGAUUUGUCCCUCAUCAAUCGGCUUUUCCAGGUUUCUUUGUGUUCUUGAUAAUUUGCCUACCUUUUCCUAAUGUAUUUGUGUUGGUGCAGAGCAAAAUAAAAUUGUGUGUUCUUCUUUUGAUUUAAAGGGGCACUGACAACUUGAAAUCACACUUCCCUUUUUAAUUUUGUUUCACCUGCUAUUGUUACAAGUAAAACCUAAAGCUUGCUGUCACAGAGAGAGAUUAGAAAAACAAUUAUUUUGCUCUAUUUUUUCCAGUUUAUUUUUCUUUCAUCAUUUGACAGCACGAGCUGCAUAAUCAGUUUCACUCUAGUCAGUUUCUCCUGUCUGUUUGGGUCUUUCAAGCAGCAACAAAAGAGAGAGUUGAUUUGUUUUUUUGUUUGUUUGUUAAAUCUCACAAACUGGCAGAGAUGCAGAGGCAGGUACUAAAUUGUCUAGAUACCAGACUGGCAGUAUCUCUCAAGAGACACUGCCAGAUAGUUUACAACAAAAAUAAAUCUUUUUAAAAUGGAUGGUUAAAGGAACUAAUUGUGUGUUGAUCUACCAUGCACCUAUCACAUUGGUACCCGGGCUUCUAUGUUAAUAGAAGAAUUUAUUUUGAAAAA
Dermochelys coriacea (leatherback sea turtle) is the source of this 975-nucleotide long non-coding RNA. RefSeq lists it as uncharacterized. The record is from RefSeq and is a predicted model, not a curated record. The transcript is spliced from 3 exons. Lineage: Eukaryota; Metazoa; Chordata; Testudines; Dermochelyidae.